Molecule: ribosomal RNA, 1491 nt
Filed under: metagenome
Description: bacterial SSU rRNA
Rfam family: Bacterial small subunit ribosomal RNA
Source: RNAcentral
AGAGUUUGAUCCUGGCUCAGAUUGAACGCUGGCGGCAUGCCUUACACAUGCAAGUCGAACGGCAGCACGGGUGCUUGCACCUGGUGGCGAGUGGCGAACGGGUGAGUAAUAUAUCGGAACGUACCCUAGAGUGGGGGAUAACGUAGCGAAAGUUACGCUAAUACCGCAUACGAUCUACGGAUGAAAGUGGGGGAUCGCAAGACCUCAUGCUCAUGGAGCGGCCGAUAUCUGAUUAGCUAGUUGGUGGGGUAAAAGCCUACCAAGGCGACGAUCAGUAGCUGGUCUGAGAGGACGACCAGCCACACUGGAACUGAGACACGGUCCAGACUCCUACGGGAGGCAGCAGUGGGGAAUUUUGGACAAUGGGGGCAACCCUGAUCCAGCAAUGCCGCGUGAGUGAAGAAGGCCUUCGGGUUGUAAAGCUCUUUUGUCAGGGAAGAAACGGGAUUUUCUAAUACAAAGUCCUAAUGACGGUACCUGAAGAAUAAGCACCGGCUAACUACGUGCCAGCAGCCGCGGUAAUACGUAGGGUGCAAGCGUUAAUCGGAAUUACUGGGCGUAAAGCGUGCGCAGGCGGUUGUGCAAGACAGAUGUGAAAUCCCCGGGCUCAACCUGGGAAUUGCAUUUGUGACUGCACGGCUAGAGUGUGUCAGAGGGGGGUAGAAUUCCACGUGUAGCAGUGAAAUGCGUAGAGAUGUGGAGGAAUACCGAUGGCGAAGGCAGCCCCCUGGGAUAACACUGACGCUCAUGCACGAAAGCGUGGGGAGCAAACAGGAUUAGAUACCCUGGUAGUCCACGCCCUAAACGAUGUCUACUAGUUGUCGGGUCUUAAUUGACUUGGUAACGCAGCUAACGCGUGAAGUAGACCGCCUGGGGAGUACGGUCGCAAGAUUAAAACUCAAAGGAAUUGACGGGGACCCGCACAAGCGGUGGAUGAUGUGGAUUAAUUCGAUGCAACGCGAAAAACCUUACCUACCCUUGACAUGUACGGAACUUACCAGAGAUGGUUUGGUGCUCGAAAGAGAACCGUAACACAGGUGCUGCAUGGCUGUCGUCAGCUCGUGUCGUGAGAUGUUGGGUUAAGUCCCGCAACGAGCGCAACCCUUGUCAUUAGUUGCUACGAAAGGGCACUCUAAUGAGACUGCCGGUGACAAACCGGUGGAAGGUGGGGAUGACGUCAAGUCCUCAUGGCCCUUAUGGGUAGGGCUUCACACGUCAUACAAUGGUACAUACAGAGGGCCGCCAACCCGCGAGGGGGAGCUAAUCCCAGAAAGUGUAUCGUAGUCCGGAUUGUAGUCUGCAACUCGACUACAUGAAGUUGGAAUCGCUAGUAAUCGCGGAUCAGCAUGUCGCGGUGAAUACGUUCCCGGGUCUUGUACACACCGCCCGUCACACCAUGGGAGCGGGUUUCACCAGAAGUAGGUAGCCUAACCGCAAGGAGGGCGCUUACCACGGUGGGAUUCGUGACUGGGGUGAAGUCGUAACAAGGUA